ACGGAAGGCAGCAGUGGGGAAUAUUGCACAAUGGGCGGAAGCCUGAUGCAGCGACGCCGCGUGAGUGAAGAAGUAUCUCGGUAUGUAAAGCUCUAUCAGCAGGGAAGAAAAUGACGGUACCUGACUAAGAAGCCCCGGCUAACUACGUGCCAGCAGCCGCGGUAAUACGUAGGGGGCAAGCGUUAUCCGGAUUUACUGGGUGUAAAGGGAGCGUAGACGGUUUGGCAAGUCUGAAGUGAAAUGCGGGGGCUCAACUCCUGAACUGCUUUGGAAACUGUCGAACUAGAGUGCAGGAGAGGUAAGUGGAAUUCCUAGUGUAGCGGUGAAAUGCGUAGAUAUUAGGAGGAACACCAGUGGCGAAGGCGGCUUACUGGACUGUAACUGACGUUGAGGCUCGAAAGCGUGGGGAGCAAACAGGAUUAGAUACCCUGGUA
RNAcentral lists this ribosomal RNA (434 nucleotides) under uncultured Lachnospiraceae bacterium. Its description in RNAcentral is "partial 16S ribosomal RNA". It matches the Rfam family "Bacterial small subunit ribosomal RNA", at positions 341 to 792 of the family's 1533-position model. The record is from RNAcentral. Lineage: Bacteria; Bacillati; Bacillota; Clostridia; Lachnospirales; Lachnospiraceae.